Molecule: ribosomal RNA, 254 nt
Filed under: uncultured bacterium
Lineage: Bacteria
Description: partial 16S ribosomal RNA
Rfam family: Bacterial small subunit ribosomal RNA
Source: RNAcentral
UACGUAGGGUGCAAGCGUUAAUCGGAAUUACUGGGCGUAAAGCGUGCGCAGGCGGUGAUGUAAGACAGGUGUGAAAUCCCCGGGCUUAACCUGGGAACUGCAUUUGUGACUGCAUCGCUGGAGUGCGGCAGAGGGGGAUGGAAUUCCGCGUGUAGCAGUGAAAUGCGUAGAUAUGCGGAGGAACACCGAUGGCGAAGGCAAUCCCCUGGGCCUGUACUGACGCUCAUGCACGAAAGCGUGGGGAGCAAACAGGA